This 1619-nucleotide long non-coding RNA is filed under the name Homo sapiens (human). RNAcentral describes it as "HSALNT0294157". Lineage: Eukaryota; Metazoa; Chordata; Mammalia; Primates; Hominidae. The record is from RNAcentral.
AGCAGCGGCAGCGGCAGCUUGGUCCUCUGACUCUCUUCGGUGACGGAUGGUGUUUCGCUCUUAUUGCCCAGGCUGGAGUGCAAUGACGUGAUCUUGACUCACCACAGCCUCUGCAUCCAGGAUUCAAGCUAUUCCCCUGCCUCAGCCUCCCAAAAUGCUGGGAUUAUAGGCGUGAGCCACCACGCCUGGCCAGCAUUCCCAAUUUUUAAAAAUGAAUGAUUGGCACAAAUCUUAGAAAGCCAUUUUCUGUAGAUUUGAAAGCAAUGCUAUUUACAUUGUUACUACUUUCUUGUUAAAUCUUGCAUGUCUGCAGUAUGUGUUGUAAUAGAAACCUAAGAUUAUGAUCUGCUGUAUUCAUAUUUGAAGAAGAAAAUUUCAGACUGUAUAAUCAACUAGUUGAUGAUUCAUAUUUGCUUGUACAAAGUUAAAAGUGUAACUUGCCAGAAAAGAAGGAAGCCUGAAAAGUAUUCUAAAUACAUUAAUAAGAAGGGUUCUACAUGAAUUAAUUUUUGUUUUGCCAUCUACAGAGUUCCUGCCACAUUCUAGGCACUUCAUAUUUGCUGCAACAUUUAUUCAGACAUUGACAGAACAAGAGAAACGAAGUUAAAUUUUAAGUACCAUGGAUUGAAAUUAAAUUUAGGGAAGAUAUUUUAUAGUAUGAAUUGUUCAUCUGUAUUUAACAAGGUAUUCAUUUAUUUUGGGCGAUUUAAGGAAGGUCCUUUCUGGAAACAGGAUUACAAACAUAUGGACCUAUUUAGUCAAUUUCAACCUUGUGAUUUUGAAUCUGACAGGUUCUCAGCUGCUUUUAUUAAAUAACGGAUUUUCUUAAUAAUUACUGUACUCAAACUUAGCAAAAAGCUCUAUUUAUAGCCCAGUUUUUUAGUCACACACUAUUGUGUCUUGUCAAAUUGAAACCAUAUACUACAUUCUUUACUUAUUAAGAUGGUCUUUCUUUGUAAUAAUUUUGGAGUAAAUAGUUUACUUAUCUAAACCUCUGAUUUCUGAUUUAACAGAUUUUUGAAGCAUUUAUUUUCCUUACCAUACAUAAAAAUUGUCAGUUGAGGACAAGGAAGGAUUAACCUGGACUACGGUGAAUAAUUGUUCAGGUUGCUUACUGUGUAACUCCAGAGGAGCAUUCACAUGGUACAAUUUGCAGAUUUAAGUAUUUAUUACAACCAUUUUCUGGCAGAUAACAGUGGAACACCCUGUUCUGUUAAAAUUAGUUUAUUAUGACAAAUUGCCUACAGAUGGACAUAAACUGUCUUGAGGAAGGGCACCUGCUUUGGACUGAAUCGUGUCCCCCCAAAAUCAAAUGUUGAAGCCUAAUCUCUAAUAUGAUGGUAUUUGGAGAUGGGGCCUUUGGGAGAUAACUAGGUUUAGAUGAGGUCAAGAGUGUGGGGCCUUCCUGAUUAGUACCCUGAAAAGAGAAAACACCAGAGAGCUUGCCCUCUCUCCCUCUUACCCCACAGGCACACAAAGAGGUCAUGUGAGUACACAGUGAGAUAACAACCACCUAUGAGAAAACAGAAGAGGCUUCAGAGUGAAAUCUACUUUGCUGGUACUGUAAUCUUGGACAUUAUUCUCUAGAACUGUGAGAUAAUAAAUUUAUCUUAUUUAAG